RNAcentral lists this unclassified non-coding RNA (253 nucleotides) under uncultured fungus. RNAcentral's name for it is "sequence contains ITS1, 5.8S rRNA gene". The stretch from base 205 to 253 matches the Rfam family "5.8S ribosomal RNA", at positions 1 to 49 of the family's 154-position model. Lineage: Eukaryota; Fungi. The record is from RNAcentral.
UCUCCGUUGGUGAACCAGCGGAGGGAUCAUUACUGAGUUUACGCUCUACAACCCUUUGUGAACAUACCUAUAACUGUUGCUUCGGCGGGUAGGGUCUCCGUGACCCUCCCGGCCUCCCGCCCCCGGGCGGGUCGGCGCCCGCCGGAGGAUAACCAAACUCUGAUUUAACGACGUUUCUUCUGAGUGGUACAAGCAAAUAAUCAAAACUUUUAACAACGGAUCUCUUGGUUCUGGCAUCGAUGAAGAACGCAGC